Leptonychotes weddellii (Weddell seal) is the source of this 1919-nucleotide non-coding RNA. The record is from RefSeq and is a predicted model, not a curated record. Lineage: Eukaryota; Metazoa; Chordata; Mammalia; Carnivora; Phocidae.
CAGACUUGCCCUCGCAAUGAGAGCAGGUACCGCCCUCAGAUGUUUGGGACCCAGCUGAGGGUGUGGGGUCCUCGCCGUGGGGGCUGAACCGCCCGGGAGUGUGAGGAGACAAAGGAAUCCAGGUCCAACUCUUUUCCGCUUUGGGGCUCGUUGCCCCGGCUGUCUCAUAGCUCUUCUUACCAGUGGCCCAGCUCCAAUCAGGUGCCUGAAGGAGGCAGGUUCUGAGGACUUGAGUCCUGAUGGCUGCUGAAGCUUCUACUCCAGAUUCAAGGGCAGCAGUCCUCAGGAGACCCCAACACUUCACAUUCCUGGUGCAAUAUGACGCCUGGAUCAAUGUCUUAAGAAGAGCAUUUUUUAACUUGGAGGAAGUCCAAUUUAUGUAUUAGUUCACUUAUAGAUUGUAGUUUUGGUAUCUCUUCUAUGAAACCUUCACCUAACUCAAGAUCACAAGGACUCUUUCCUAUGUUUCUUCUAGAAGACUGACAACUUUAGGAUAUAUAUUUAGGUCUUCUUUAAUUUUUCUGAGCAAUGUUUUGAAGUGUUUAGUGAACAGGCUUUGCACAUCUGUGGACAGAUGAUCUAAUUGAUGAAUUCUGCGUUCUUGAGUGGUGAGACAGAGGAAGGAGAGACCAUGUACAUAUAUAACAGACAAGGCUGUGGACUCUGAGCCCCUGAAAUAGGAGCCAAUAGAGAAGAACAAAGUGUGAUGUUGAGUGUGCUAGACUGGGUCCUAGAACAAGAGUGAAGAGAUUAAGAUCCUAUCAUUGGGACCAUUUAGUGAAAGCAGAGCAGUGUGUGAACUGUGAGCCCCAGAAACAGGAAACAAUAGAGAAGAACCAGGUGUGAUGUCCAGUGUGCUAGACAAAUUGCUGGAACAAGAGCGACAAGAUCAGGGUCCCAUCAUUGGGAUACUUUAGGCAAGUGAUGUAUACAGAGGGAUUGUUCCAGUUAAGUGAAAAUCCAGAAAGCUGGCUGAUCCCAUGAGGUCAAGCUCCCAAUCUCCAUCCUCCCUCCCCUGUGUGGAGCCCCCUGAUCUGAGACUCAGAGCUGCCAUUCUGGAUCUCACCACCAGGCAAUUUUUGAGAGUGGAGUUUGAUGAUGGUGGUUCUUUGGCGCCACCUUGUGACAAGAGCCUGAAGUGCUGCUUGAACACAAAGGAACAGGAAAAUGGGAGAGAUGGUCUCUGACACAAACCCAGACAGCAGACAGCAGUUUCUCAGACUGUUUCUGAAAGUGGAGUUUGAUGAUGGUUCUUUGGCGCCAAAUUGUGGAGAAAGCCUGAACUGCUGCUUGAACCUUAAGGAAGAGGAAAAUGGGAGGGAUGGUCUGUGACACAAACCCACCACACAGAACUUGCUGGAGUUUCCAUUUUGAAAUGGAAAGUGCAGAAUUCCUUGACUAAACCAUAUUGGGGCGCUCUCCCUGGACGCUACAUAUAAGUCUAAUCAUACAAUAUCUAAGUCUAAUCAUACAAUAUCUGGUCUUUUGCAUUUUUGACUCCUUUCGCUUAGCUUACUAUUUUCAAGGUUUAUCCAUUUUAUUUUUUAUUUAUUUACUUAUGUAUUUCUCUAUGUAUUUAUGUAUGUAUGUAUGAAUGUAUGUAUAUAUUUUAACCUUGGAGGCAAUUCUUGAGAGUGGAGUUUGACGAUGGUGGUUCUUUGCGCCACCUUGUGGCAAAAGCCUUAACUGCUGCUAAAACACUACAGAACAGGAAAAUGGAAGGGAUGGUCUGUACACAAACCCGCCAGACAGAUCUUUCUCAGGUUAAAGUGGAAAGUGUGGAAUUUCUUGACUAAAGCAUAUUGGAGGGCUCAUUCUAGACAUGGCAUAUAAAUGGAAUCAUUUUUCUAGGCAAAUAUAGACAUAUUUGAAGUCAGUUGCCUUUUUGUCUCCUUUCACUUAGCUUAAUAUUUUCAAAG